CGAUUUGACCUCCGCCAUUACAACACAAGUGUUUACAGAUCUGGUUCCUGGUAGAAGUUACCAGGCAUCUGUAACAGCGCACAGUGGCAGUUACUCCCAACCAUCAGCCAUCACCACUGCCAGGACCUUUCCUCCAACAGUCAAUGUCACCAUCAUCCCCAUAAACUCUACAGCCAUGACGGUCUCAUGGGCACCUUUUAUUGCUGUAGACGUUGACUACUACACGGUUUACUUGAAUGAAACCAAUAACCCAACAGCAGUGAAGAGCUCCGAUUUGUCCUCCACCAUUACAACACAAGUGUUUACAGAUCUGGUUCCUGGUAGAAGUUACCAGGCAUCUGUAACAGCGCGCAGUGGCAAUGGCUUCCAACCAUCAGCCAUCGUCACUGCCAGGACCUUGGCUCCAAAAGUCAAUGUCACCAUCAGCGCCAGCAACUCUACAGCCAUGAAUGUCUCAUGGGCACCUAAUUUUACUGUAGACGUUGACUACUACAUGGUCUACUUGAAUGCAUCUAAAAAUGUAAAAGAAGUGAAGAGCUUCAAUUUGACCUCCACCCAAACAUCACAAGUGUUUACAGAUCUGGUUCCUGGUAGAAGUUACCAGGCAUCUGUAACAGCGCAGAGUGGCAAUGGCUCCCAACCAUCAGACAGCGCCACUGC
This is a long non-coding RNA of Lethenteron reissneri (Far Eastern brook lamprey), 660 nucleotides long. RefSeq lists it as uncharacterized. The record is from RefSeq and is a predicted model, not a curated record. NCBI's taxonomy places the organism in Eukaryota, Metazoa, Chordata, Hyperoartia, Petromyzontiformes, Petromyzontidae.